This is a non-coding RNA of Pelobates cultripes (western spadefoot toad), 278 nucleotides long. Lineage: Eukaryota; Metazoa; Chordata; Amphibia; Anura; Pelobatidae. The record is from the annotation of a GenBank genome assembly.
GAAAACUACAAUAAUUACACUUGCAGGGUUAAGGGUAGUGGGAGUUAGCACCCAGACCACUCCAAUGGGCAAAAGUGGUCUGGGUGCCUGGAGUGUCCCUUUACAAGCUUCCCUUUACAAACAUCCCAGAAAGCUACAUCUUAACUACUGUCCCAAACAUCAAAUGAAAAAGCUAUAUUCCAACUUUACAGUGUGCAUAUAUUCCAAGCAGUGGCUGCAUGCAUGUGCAGUCACACAAUUGGUCAGUCAAUGUGAAGGGUUUAUUCACAAAGCUAAAG